Molecule: ribosomal RNA, 407 nt
Filed under: uncultured bacterium
Lineage: Bacteria
Description: bacterial SSU rRNA
Rfam family: Bacterial small subunit ribosomal RNA
Source: RNAcentral
GACGAACGCUGGCGGCGUGCCUAACACAUGCAAGUCGAACGAGGCCGGAGUGCUUGCACUCCGAGCCGAGUGGCGGACGGGUGCGUAACACGUGACCAACCUGUCUUUGGGUGAGGGACAACCUGGGGAAACCCGGGCUAAUACCGCAUGAAGUCCAGACCUCGCAUGGGGUCAGGAUCAAAGGGGGCCUCUGCUUGCAAGCUCUCGCCCAGAGAGGGGGUCGCGGCGAUCAGCUAGUUGGUAGGGUAACGGCCUACCAAGGCUACGACGCGUAGUGGGUCUGAGAGGACGACCCGCCACAUUGGGACUGAGAUACGGCCCAGACUCCUACGGGAGGCAGCAGUGGGGAAUAUUGCGCAAUGGCCGAAAGGCUGACGCAGCGACGCCGCGUGUGGGAGGAAGCCCUU